Hylaeus anthracinus is the source of this 7124-nucleotide long non-coding RNA. RefSeq lists it as uncharacterized. NCBI's taxonomy places the organism in Eukaryota, Metazoa, Arthropoda, Insecta, Hymenoptera, Colletidae. The record is from RefSeq and is a predicted model, not a curated record. The transcript is spliced from 2 exons.
UGUUAGUGGCGACAUCUGGUGGCAGGAGGUGGAAACUACUUCACGACAAACUUGGACGGUUCGCCGAGGAUGGCGCCAUAUUUCCCGCUAUUUUUAUUUAUUCAAAAAACGAUAUCAAUAAUUAUUAGUGUGGAAAUCUGUGCAGUAAAUACUGUAUGCAACUGUACAUGGAAUAAAAAUGUAAAAUUAAGCUUUAACGCGAGCAUAAGGAAUUUAGAUUAAAAUUUGAACACGAUAGAUGUUAAUAUGUUAGAUUAAACAAACAAAUUGCUUAUUUAUAACGAAUCCUCGAACAGUAGCUGUUGCCGUAGGGUAGAGUAAACACGCUUGAUACACAUUUUCGAUACUUUAUUCAUAUAAUUUCGUAGUUACGGCAUUAUAUCUAUGUAUUUACAUAUCUCCAGUAUCUUUUUUUUUGUUCAGAAAGAUCUUAUAAUGCGUCUGUGUUUGCGCGCUACAAUAUAUAACGCACGCGAGUGGGUUGCCUGGAUUUAAGUUGUAAAACGUACUUCUUCAUUGUUUUGUUUUCCCUUUUUUCUUUUUGUUUUUCUUUCUUUUAGUAUCUUUACAGUUUAUUCUCGCCCCGUUGCUUUCAGCGACACGUAAAACAUGCGUCGCUACGCGAAACAAGAGAAAUCUCUAUUAAAAUGGCGCGAUUUUAAAUCAAUGUGUUUACAAGUUGGAAAAGUAACUAAACAAGAGGCUCGACGUGUAAAAAAUCUAAACGCAUCGUUGCACGCUAAACUAGUUUUGUACCACGCAUUUAUUUAUCCGUCUUAUCGUUUUCGAAAAUGAAAUUUCUGAUACGAGCUGUUCGAAGAACAAUUGGCUCGAACCGUUUUUAAAAAGUCGUUUAAAUUAGUUUAAAAAUUUAUUAGAAUAAUUUCGGCUGAAAAGAAAAUUGCUUCAAGUCGCUUUAAUUGAAAAUUGACUUCAAUCGCUCCAAAAAAAAAAAAAAAAAAAAAAAAAAAAAAAAAAAAAAAAAAAAAACCAGAUCUACUCGUUUCGGUGUAAAAUGUGGCCUGCUUAUUUGGAUUUUAAAAUUGAUUUUCAUCGUUUCGAUCCGAACUCGAUUUACGAAUUGAUAUUUCACCGGAACUGAAUACCUCUAGUCACGCGUAUAUACGUGCAAAUGUAUACAGGGUGUCCAAACUAUAAUAACACAGAAUUCUUUUCAUAAAAGCACGACACAGGAACAAAAAAAAAAAAAAAAAAAAUAAAAAUAGAAAACCAAAAAGAUUUACGAAUUCUUGCAACGAACACGAAUGCGUCUAACAAUGUACAACGACGAGGUUUGCGGUAUUUACAAAAUGCCUUGCGUCAAUUAAAAAAACGUGUCGUUGAAUUCGUCUCGAUUUUCUUCUAUUUAAUAUAAUAUAAAUAAAUCGUACGAAAAAUGAACGUCGUUCGAUUUAGUAUUCGUUUCGAACUCGACCGAAGAAAAAGAAUCUAUCUAAUCUAAUUCGUACAUGAACAAAAUAAAAAAAAUGAAAAACAAUGAAAUUCUUGCCCCUUCCAUAUUUUUUUUCUCACGCCAUUUAUUCACAAGAAUGAUGCUAGCUAACUAUAAUGCGAGCACCCUGUAUAUGCCCUUUCUCGCUCGAAUCCUACUGUACAUACGUAUACGUAUAAUGUUUAUGAUACUCGUAAAAAUCGGAAGGGCGGUGGAGAGGGGAUAGCGUAGUGAACAACAAAAAUAUCCGCGAUCGUCGCCGGUUCUACAGUACCGCAAAUCUUUUUAUCGUUAACACUGUAUUCCGUAUUUUCUGUCUUUCUCCGUUUCGUCUCUCGUCGUGUCACCAAAAAUUCUCGUCCACGAACGUAUUUUCGCUAUCUAGUUUCAUACAGGUGCACCCAUACGUAUAGACUGUACAAUGUAAAAUAUAAUUCCAUCUAGCUAUAGCGAUUCUAGAUACAGUUGUGUGAGCUUAUUUAUUUAUUUAAUUUUUUUUUUUUUUUUUUUUAUAUUCUUUUCGUUUUUUCCGCUGGCUACUAAACACGACUCUCGUUUUCGCGAUUAUCCAUCUCACGCACACCCUUAAUUACACGUACACAGUUACAUGCAGCGCAUCCGUCGAUCGUAACAUCGGUCAUUCGCUAUUUAUUCACGUUUGCUCGCGUUUCGUCAUUUCGCGCCUCUCUGGUCGCCGCGCUACGCGUUAAUUGUUUAAGUUUAGGUAUGAUGGCUACCUACCGCGACACACUUAAGUCCGAGGUUUUUAAUGCGUUAAGUUUAAGUAGUAGAGUAACAUUUUGCUCGGUAAGAUAUCUUAUUAGAAGUUGAUUAGUUUCGUAUAAAUGUUUAGUCGUCGGUACAUCGAAGGAUAUGCAGAGAGAGAGAGAGAGAGAGAGAGAGAGAGAGAGAGAGAGAGAGAGAGUUUAGGGGGCAGUGAUAACAAUAUGUUCGCGUUUCUCGAGGUCUGGUGGACGCUUGUUGCGAUCUGGCAGCCUUUGCGGCGCGUGAUUCGUUCCCCACUGGCGCCAGUGAUCGUUCCAAUUUGGAAGAGUGUAAAUUCAAUUGAAGUAAUGAUUAUUGGGCUAAGUAAGCGACCCUGGUUUUCAAUUUGAUGUCACAGUGAUUACUGGCGCCAGUUUAGUGGCGCCAGUUUAGUGGCGCCAGUUUAGUGGCGCCAGUCAAGUAGCGUCAGCUGGAUUUGCGUUUCUAGAUACAAUGAUCUCUGGUACGAGGAAGGUAACCUCAAAAGAAUUGCGUCGAUUGGUUUCAUGUUUCCAUCCACAACGAUUACUGGCGCCAGUUAAGUGGCGCCAAUACAAUACCAUUACUUGAAUUUAUGUUUCCACAUACAAUGAUCUCUGGUACCAGGGCAACAAGUAAAAUGGAAUCAGCAGAGUGAUACCAGUAAAGUGGCGUCAGUCGAGUACCUAUCAUUCGCAUAGAACAAUUGUUGGCGCCAGUAAACUGGCCCAAGAAGAUUGAGAUCAGUAAGCGUCGAUUGAUUUUACAUUUCCAGGCACGGUGAUUAGUGUGAGAACAUCUGCACGUACGUGUAUAUGCGAUGGCGACAGUGUGCAUGAAAGAGAAAAAGGCGUGCACAGUUACAAAAGCGUGUACAGUAUGAUUUGAGAUAGAAAAACACGGCAGAAAUGUGCCAUUAAUAUUAAUGGAAAAGUUGGAGAAAUAAUAUGUUUUCUUUUAUUUAAAUACAAGUUACCAAAUAUACAUGUAUAAAUUCAUCGAGGUUUAAUUAUCAAUGGUUAUUCAAACCCAACAAUUAGUGGCGCCAGCAAAGUGGCGCCAGUUGAAUUCGUAUGUUUUCCGAUAGGAUAAUCACUAGUGUCAGUGAAGCGGAUAAUUGAGUUUACGUCUUUCUAAAUAGAAAAAUUAUUUGUGCCAGUAAACUCCACCGACAAAGUGGCGCUAGUAAAGUGACGUGUCACCAAUAAAGUAACACUACUGGCGCCAGUAAUAUUUGCAACGUGACAAACUCGUUCAAGAAACAGUAUUUUCUUUUUGUCACUCAAACAGAAAGAAAUCGAUACCAUCAUAUCGAAGAAGAGCAAAGAUCAAAGUCUUUUCGAUAUUAUUCAAAUUUCGUAUUCGUAUAACAGAUACGAAAACUAAGAAGUGAAUUUCUUGUAUUUACAUUAACAGGCUCGAAAAAAAAUCUCAAAAAAUUCAGUGUUACACUUCAAGAUCUCCACGACAUUAUUCAACAGUCUUUAAUGUAAAAGGUUAAAGGCUCGUCUCAAAUAGCAAUCGAUAUGUAAACAGUGAAAUUUGGGGGCGAAAUUUCGCUUGUGCCCAAAGAGACUCGAGUGACCAAUGAAAAACAUUAAUUCAAUCUCGCGCAGACGAUUUUCCGUUAAAUUCUUUGCGCGAAUAUGUUAACAUAACAUUCAUCUAUAAACAAAAAUUUCAUUUAGCUGCUAAAGUUCGACUAGCAUUCGACAAAAAAAAAUAUUAAUUAUCUCGUGGAGCUAUUUAACUCUUUGGGGUUGGGUGGAUUAAAAACUGGCAUUUUUAUUUUUUGCUUAGCUUUGAUAUUUUAUUUAAAGUUUUUCAUUCAGUUGGCUUCGAACUAACGCUGAACGAUAAAUAAAGAAAAUAUAAUUUUAUACAAGUCGAAACGCAUUGAUAAAUUGUCGAAACCUCUUCUGUGCAGCUUGAGUUUUAUUUAAAAUUUUAAAUCGUGUGCCUCAAAGAGUUAAACAGAAAUAUUUCUGUGUGACGAUAUCGUUAAGACUGCCCGCUCAACUUUUCUUGCGUAAAUAUACAAAAAGAUCCACAUCGAAUUAUCGUUUUUACAGUCUACGAAUGAUCCCGAAGGCGAGGAAUUGCAAAGUUCAGCAAAGUCGAGAGAGUUAAAGAUUAUUGUGCCAUUUUAAGCGUCAUGCGCGAAAGCGAUCGUUGAGAUUUCAUUUCUUUUUUUCUUUUUUUUUUUUUCGAGAACUCGCGUUUCGUACCCGAUCGAAAAUGAUCAAGCGAUAAAUUGCAAAAAUAGUAAAGAAAUUCUUCUGUUAUCGGUAGAAGAUACCGUAAGUGGAUCCAUCAAGCUCUUGUGCGAUUUAGAUAUAGAAGAAUUUGAUAUAAAUCUCGAAAGUUGUUUCUAUUUCUCCGUAUCGCCACCAAAGAUGGACAAAAUUUUACUGAUCGAAUAAACUCGUUGAAUGAUUUAUUCGCAACGUUUGUUCAUUUAAAAUUUAUCCAGACAGAAGCCUUAAUACGUUUGAUAUGAAAUUGAAAAUUCGUCCUAUUUUGUCAUUUAAAUUGUAUUUUUGAUUGAAUGCAUAAUAGGACAGAGAUCGUUUAUCUUUUUCGUUAUUUUUUAUUUAAAAAUUUGGUUUGUCCAUCUCUGUCAGGAGAUGAGUCUCCAUUUUCAGAGGAAUUUAGUUCAUCAGCAAGAGUUUCUGUGAAACGAUAUACAUUAUCGUGUACAGGAGAGUCGAUACACACAUUCGCGGCAAACACUGUAAAAUGUAUCGUGUGCAGUCUGACCAAUAUUCGACCGAUUUCGUCGCCAUUCCGUGCAAAUAGUUUAAAAAGAGAUCUUUCGAUUCCGACACUCUUACACCAAAACGCAGAAGAUAAAUAUAAAAUUGAUUCCAAAAUAAAUUUGUUUUCAUUUCGAAGUAAAAAGAUGAAAGUUUCAUAGAAUACGAUCACUUGUCUUAUUGGUAUUUUUAACGGUAGCCUAUUAAACAGAAUAUGCAAGAUACCAAUUUGUUUAGAACGUUCGAGAUAUUCUAAGAGCGAUGCGAUUCGAAGAAAAUUUAAUGGUAAAACGUAUGAAUGCGUUGUAACUUUAAUAAUAUUUGAAAUGGGUUAAAUUUUAUUUGAGUAAUAAAUGAGAAAUAAAAUCAAAAUAUAACAAUAGCUUGAUAUAAUAGUCAAGAAGACAAUAAUAGAGGACCUCUUAUUUUUGUUAUAUUUAUUAGAUUUAUUCGCAACAGGUAAAUUCGUAUUUGUUCAUUAUGAAGUACUGAAUUCUGUAACUCAAAUUUUUAUUUUUAUUAGAAAUAGUUGUUUGUCUUUUAUUCGCUAUUCGAGAUUUUUGUCCAGAUAAGGAUUUUAUCCCAUCUCUGUUUUCAAAUUAGAUUCGGAUUAACGUGCGUCAAUCAUGCAUCCCUGAGUGACGUCAGGUCGAAGACCAAGCUCAUAUUUUGGACGAAGAUUUACGUUUGCUGUGAUAUCUUUUUCUAUUGAAAAUGAUUAUUGUGUCACCAUAAAUUAAUCGAUACAAAAUUCUUUAUCUUCAUCUCUCUUGCUUCACUUUCAUCUGGUCGUUUUUGUGACAAUAAAAAUUACACACCCUUGAAGGAUACGUUAAGAAGGGAAAGUCCAAAAAUUCGUUUAAAAUUGUACAGUUUGUUACACGAUUGAUUGAUUACUCAAAAGACCAAAGUGAUUGGUUAUUCCAGCAUAAAAAUAUUUGAUACCAUCAAAGACGAAUGAAAAUCUUUAUUCGCGAUAAUUUUAUAAUAGAAACUCUAUCCUAUUUUAUUAAAGUUUUAUAUUCAUUCGUUCUUCGAUUAUAUAAAAAAAUGUUCGUGCUUGAAUAACCCGUUACUUUGAUAUUUUAAAUUCGUUUAAAAGAUACUCAAACCAAAGAUGGGCAAAAUUCUCGUAAAAAUUCUCAAUAAAAAUUGUGGAGCGAACGAAACUAUUUGUACUGGUUAAAUCAAAAUUAUACUUUCAGUUAUAGAAUCGUAUAUUUCGUAAUGUACGAUUAAAAAGCUCUUGAAUCGAAUAAACGACACGAAUAACGAAUAAUUUCUAUAUGAUUUUAUUCUCAGUCUGUUCGAAUAAAAUUUCGCCCAUUCCUGGCUCGAAAUAAUAGACAAAAUAAUAGUGCGUCUGUUUUCAGUAAAAAUCUGGCAGUCGGUUUUACCAGAUUUUGUGACGAAUAUCGCGAUGCGAGUAGAAAAAAUUCGUGUUGCGUGGAAAGUGCGGCGAGAGGCAAAUUACACCCGAUAUAAUUCUUCAUGGGAAAUUAACUACGAAUCUGAAACAGGGAAUUGCAACGAUAACGUCGCUAACGAGUUUCGCGUUGGCAUCGUUGGAAUUAAUAAGGGUUAAUUGGACGCGAAAGUCGUGGAGGAAGUUUGCUAAUUGUCUCGAGGCGCGAACGAAGAACGAACUUAGUGGCGCAAUCAGAAAUUUCAAAUAUGAAAAUAAAUGCUUGUUUAUGUGUGUAUUUAUGAACGAAAAGAAUGCUGAAUCUUUGUAUUUAGAAAAAGACACGAAGAAGUAUUUAUCAAUAAAUACAAACGAGUAUUAAUAAAUAGGACGAAUUGCCUCUCUAUAAUAUUCAAUUUUAUUUUCAUUCGUUUCUCGCCACUGUAUAGAGGAUUUCAAGAAUUUUCAUAUUUUAUUUCGCGUCAAAUACGAGCAGAAAUAUUUGUUCGCACGUGCAUUUAUAAAUGAAAAGAAUGCUCGAUACUUGUAUUUGUAAGCAAAUAUAAAUAUUUAUAAGUAAAUGAUUAUUUUUUCCGUAACCUCUUGGUUAUUGCGAACACGGAAACUUUAUUCUCGGAGAAAACUUUAUUCAGAUGGAUCUUCAUGGGGCACAAGUACAUGGAGAUAUACAAGCGAAAUGUCUACGAAGUAUCACAGAAAAGUUCAAGAAAUGUUAAAAGGAAUGUUGAAACAAGAUUGAAACAAG